RNAcentral lists this ribosomal RNA (486 nucleotides) under uncultured bacterium. RNAcentral describes it as "partial 16S ribosomal RNA". It matches the Rfam family "Bacterial small subunit ribosomal RNA", at positions 30 to 507 of the family's 1533-position model. The record is from RNAcentral.
AUUGAACGCUGGCGACAUGCCUUACACAUGCAAGUCGAACGGCAGCACGGGUGCUUGCACCUGGUGGCGAGUGGCGAACAGGUGAGUAAUACAUCGGAACAUGUCCUGUAGUGGGGGAUAGCCCGGCGAAAGCCGGAUUAAUACCGCAUACGAUCUACGGAUGAAAGCGGGGGACCUUCGGGCCUCGCGCUAUAGGGUUGGCCGAUGGCUGAUUAGCUAGUUGGUGGGGUAAAGGCCUACCAAGGCGACGAUCAGUAGCUGGUCUGAGAGGACGACCAGCCACACUGGGACUGAGACACGGCCCAGACUCCUACGGGAGGCAGCAGUGGGGAAUUUUGGACAAUGGGCGAAAGCCUGAUCCAGCAAUGCCGCGUGUGUGAAGAAGGCCUUCGGGUUGUAAAGCACUUUUGUCCGGAAAGAAAUCCUUGGCCCUAAUACGGUCGGGGGAUGACGGUACCGGAAGAAUAAGCACCGGCUAACUACGUG